RNAcentral lists this ribosomal RNA (409 nucleotides) under uncultured bacterium. RNAcentral's name for it is "bacterial SSU rRNA". It matches the Rfam family "Bacterial small subunit ribosomal RNA", at positions 505 to 916 of the family's 1533-position model. The record is from RNAcentral.
CUGCCAGCCGCCGCGGUAAUACGGAGGGUGCAAGCGUUAUCCGGAUUCAUUGGGUUUAAAGGGUGCGCAGGCGGAUACUUAAGUCAGUGGUGAAAUCCCGGGGCUCAACCCCGGAACUGCCAUUGAUACUGAAUAUCUGGAAUACGGUUGAAGUGGGCGGAAUGUAGCUUGUAGCGGUGAAAUGCAUAGAGAUGCUACAGAACACCGAUCGCGAAGGCAGCUCACUAAGCCGAUAUUGACGCUCAGGCACGAAAGCGUGGGGAGCGAACAGGAUUAGAUACCCUGGUAGUCCACGCCGUAAACGAUGAUAACUCGUUGUUGGCGACACACAGUCAGCGACUAAGCGAAAGCGAUAAGUUAUCCACCUGGGGAGUACGAUCGCAAGGUUGAAAUUCAAAGGAAUUGGCGG